RNAcentral lists this ribosomal RNA (253 nucleotides) under uncultured bacterium. Its description in RNAcentral is "partial 16S ribosomal RNA". It matches the Rfam family "Bacterial small subunit ribosomal RNA", at positions 524 to 776 of the family's 1533-position model. The record is from RNAcentral.
UACGUAGGUGGCAAGCGUUGUCCGGAUUUAUUGGGUUUAAAGGGUGCGUAGGCGGCUUUAUAAGUCCGUGGUGAAAGCCAACAGCUCAACUGUUGAACUGCCAUGGAUACUGUAAGGCUUGAGUACAGACGAGGUAGGCGGAAUGGAUGGUGUAGCGAUGAAAUGCAUAGAUACCAUCCAGAACACCGAUUGCGUAGGCAGCUUACUAGGCUGUAACUGACGCUGAGGCACGAAAGCGUGGGGAGCGAACAGG